AAUAGAUACCCAGGUAGUCCACGCCGUAAACGGUGGGUACUAGGUGUGGGUUUCCUUCCUUGGGAUCCGUGCCGUAGCUAACGCAUUAAGUACCCCGCCUGGGGAGUACGGCCGCAAGGCUAAAACUCAAAGGAAUUGACGGGGGCCCGCACAAGCGGCGGAGCAUGUGGAUUAAUUCGAUGCAACGCGAAGAACCUUACCUGGGUUUGACAUGCACAGGACGCACCUAGAGAUAGGUGUUCCCUUGUGGCCUGUGUGCAGGUGGUGCAUGGCUGUCGUCAGCUCGUGUUGUGAGAUGUUGGGUUAAGUCCCGCAACGAGCGCAACCCUUGUCCUAUGUUGCCAGCGGGUUAUGCCGGGGACUCGUAGGAGACUGCCGGGGUCAACUCGGAGGAAGGUGGGGAUGACGUCAAGUCAUCAUGCCCCUUAUGUCCAGGGCUUCACACAUGCUACAAUGGCCGGUACAAAGGGCUGCGAUGCCGUGAGGUGGAGCGAAUCCUUGUAAAGCCGGUCUCAGUUCGGAUCGGGGUCUGCAACUCGACCCG
Molecule: ribosomal RNA, 544 nt
Filed under: uncultured bacterium
Lineage: Bacteria
Description: bacterial SSU rRNA
Rfam family: Bacterial small subunit ribosomal RNA
Source: RNAcentral